Long non-coding RNA from Pelmatolapia mariae (spotted tilapia), 682 nucleotides. RefSeq lists it as uncharacterized. The record is from RefSeq and is a predicted model, not a curated record. Lineage: Eukaryota; Metazoa; Chordata; Actinopteri; Cichliformes; Cichlidae. The transcript has 3 exons.
CCGGUAAGGUGACGAUCACAACCUCAUUCAUUUCCUGCAUGUUUACCUCUGAUGAAGCCAUGAAGACUCGGAGGAGCUCACCUACAGACAGGCCAAAUCUAAUUACUUGAAAGGUUAGAGAAGGGCAGCGGACCGAAAGUGUUACUGACGGGACUCUACAGCAUCUUGAGCUGAAUUCAGACUUCAGAAGUCAUGUUGAAUGACCAGCGGAUAAACUCUCAGGUGUUUUGUGCCAGAAAUGGAGUGUCCACUGAAGACUGAAGAUACUGAAUCUCUACGCACUGCCAUUGAUCCCUCUUGUGCCUUCAUCUAGACAAGAGACAUCAACUUAACUACUCUCACAUGCUCUGUACCUACAUCACCUUCCCUGACAGUCGUAGCUUGGCUCAUCUGAGGGUGAAAUUAUAAGAAUGUGUUAUUUUGCAAAGUGCUCUCUAGGGUUUCUAAAUAAAAUAUGGCAUUGAGGUCAUUUCUUUUGAAUUAAUCCCUUCUUAAAUAUAAGAACCUCUCCUGGUUUUAAUGGCACUUUGGAUUUCCUUACUUUCUGUUCCACUUCCAAACCCAAAUAGAUGCUGACAAGCUGACACAGUAACAUGGAAGAGGGAAAGAAGUUGGAAAGGACUACUACAAAUAAACCUAAUGCCUAACAAUGAAAAAUGUAAAAUAAGAACAAUAAUAAUAA